GCGACUAUAGCUCAACUGGAUAGAGUAGCUGUCUUCGAAACAGUUGGUUGGGGGUUCGAAUCCCUCUAGUCGCG
This 74-nucleotide transfer RNA is filed under the name bacterium. RNAcentral's name for it is "tRNA-Arg". It matches the Rfam family "tRNA". From Rfam's summary of the family: Transfer RNA (tRNA) molecules are approximately 80 nucleotides in length. Their secondary structure includes four short double-helical elements and three loops (D, anti-codon, and T loops). The record is from RNAcentral.